Molecule: long non-coding RNA, 383 nt
Filed under: Mytilus galloprovincialis (Mediterranean mussel)
Lineage: Eukaryota; Metazoa; Mollusca; Bivalvia; Mytilida; Mytilidae
Source: RNAcentral
GUGUUAGAAAGUGGUGAAAAUUCUAAAAAGGCUAUCAUUAUCCCUAUGGGCCAGGAAAUACUACCGUGCCACCUUAAGGGGGAUAUAUAUUUUUACACUAAAUCAAUGAAGGAACUUUUUUUACCUAUGCAAUUUGUAAGUUUAUCAAUAAAAAGUUGAUUAAGGGCAACUAUGAUAAAAACAAGCCUUAAAUUCCACCCCUGAGAGUAAAAAUUGCUGAUUCAGCAAAUUUUGCCUGAUCUGUAGGUAAUAAUGUAAAAAUUUUCAUAGAAAGUAGAACUUCAUUAUUUUUAUGUAACUUGCAAUACAUUUUUAAUUAUAAAUGCUCGCUUUAACUUUUCGCAGUGUCUGACACAUGUGCAACCACUGAAAUUUGAGACGCG